AGAAAUUAAAAAACUCAAAUAUCAAAACAUUAUAAUUUAAGUCAAUAUAAUUAUUCAUAAAAAAAUCCCAUAUUUUCUUGUUUUAGUGUUUAACGCAUAUAUUUAAUUUAAACAACGUGGUAUAAAAUAAGUAUAAAUUAUUCUACUUGUGCUGAUUUGGUGUAGUAAACAUAGUCACCUUGAGAAGGCUACUAUGUUAAACAAAUUCAUUGAGUAGAUAAGAAAUAUGUAUAAGUAUAUUUCAUUUUAAUUCAAAUACAUCCAUUUGGAGUGUUUCAUCCCAUCCUAUAAUGUUCAAAGCGAACAU
RNAcentral lists this long non-coding RNA (307 nucleotides) under Lathyrus oleraceus (garden pea). Its description in RNAcentral is "Pisum sativum (pea) long non-coding RNA (PSAT_LNC005639)". The record is from RNAcentral. Lineage: Eukaryota; Viridiplantae; Streptophyta; Magnoliopsida; Fabales; Fabaceae.